ACAUGUCUUUUUGGUUAUUUAAUAUAAAGUCUGACCUGCCCACUGAAUAUAAUUUUAAAGGGCCGCAGUAUUUUGACUGUGCAAAGGUAGCAUAAUCAUUAGUCUUUUAAUUGAAGGCUGGUAUGAAUGGUUGGAUGAGGUACAAGCUGUGUCAUAAAAAUUAAUAUUUGAAUUUACCUUUUUAGUCAAAAGGCUAAAAUUUUAUUAAAAGACGAGAAGACCCUAUAGAGCUUUAUAUAGUUAAUAUUUAGAUUAUUAAUAUUUUUUAAAUUUAAUUAUUUUAUUAUAUUUUGUUGGGGUGACAAUAAAAUUUAUAAAACUUUUAUUAUUAUUAUUCAUUAAUUUAUGUUUAAAUGAUCCAAUUUUAUUGAUUAUAAAUUUAAGUUACCUUAGGGAUAACAGCGUAAUUUUUUUUGAGAGUUCUUAUCGACAGAAAAGAUUGCGACCUCGAUGUUGGAUUAAGAGUAAUUUUGGGUGUAGAAGUUCAAAGUUUAAGUCUGUUCGACUUUUAAAUUCUUACAUGAUC
This 526-nucleotide ribosomal RNA is filed under the name Simulium timorense. RNAcentral describes it as "partial 16S ribosomal RNA". It matches the Rfam family "Bacterial large subunit ribosomal RNA", at positions 1815 to 2605 of the family's 2925-position model. Lineage: Eukaryota; Metazoa; Arthropoda; Insecta; Diptera; Simuliidae. The record is from RNAcentral.